AGCUUUGCACAGUGGCAGUAUCCUAGCUAAUGAGGUUUAUCUGAGACAUGAUUAUUGCGAAUUGAAAAUGA
Molecule: small nuclear RNA, 71 nt
Filed under: Oryctolagus cuniculus (rabbit)
Lineage: Eukaryota; Metazoa; Chordata; Mammalia; Lagomorpha; Leporidae
Description: U4 spliceosomal RNA
Rfam family: U4 spliceosomal RNA
About the family: U4 small nuclear RNA (U4 snRNA) is a component of the major U2-dependent spliceosome. The structure of U4 snRNA from yeast and human has been reported. U4 snRNA presents a k-turn RNA motif in the 5p-SL related to recognition of Snu13 protein.
Source: Rfam by way of RNAcentral